AGCGAACGCUGGCGGCAGGCUUAACACAUGCAAGUCGAGCGGGCGUAGCAAUACGUCAGCGGCAGACGGGUGAGUAACGCGUGGGAACAUACCUCUUGGUUCGGAACAACACAGGGAAACUUGUGCUAAUACCGGAUAAGCCCUUACGGGGAAAGAUUUAUCGCCGAAAGAUUGGCCCGCGUCUGAUUAGCUAGUUGGUGAGGUAACGGCUCACCAAGGCGACGAUCAGUAGCUGGUCUGAGAGGAUGAUCAGCCACAUUGGGACUGAGACACGGCCCAAACUCCUACGGGAGGCAGCAGUGGGGAAUAUUGGACAAUGGGCGCAAGCCUGAUCCAGCCAUGCCGCGUGAGUGAUGAAGGCCUUAGGGUUGUAAAGCUCUUUCGACGGGGACGAUAAUGACGGUACCCGUAGAAGAAGCCCCGGCUAACUUCGUGCCAGCCGCCGCAGUAAG
RNAcentral lists this ribosomal RNA (452 nucleotides) under uncultured bacterium. RNAcentral's name for it is "bacterial SSU rRNA". It matches the Rfam family "Bacterial small subunit ribosomal RNA", at positions 29 to 524 of the family's 1533-position model. The record is from RNAcentral.